RNAcentral lists this ribosomal RNA (371 nucleotides) under uncultured bacterium. RNAcentral's name for it is "bacterial SSU rRNA". It matches the Rfam family "Bacterial small subunit ribosomal RNA", at positions 527 to 896 of the family's 1533-position model. The record is from RNAcentral.
GUAGGGGGCGAGCGUUGUCCGGAUUUACUGGGCGUAAAGCGCGUGUAGGCGGUUUGCCAAGUCCGGGGUGAAAGGCGGGGGCUCAACCCCCGAGCUGCGCUGGAAACUGGCAGACUUGAGUGUCGGAGAGGGGAGUGGAAUUCUCGGUGUAGCGGUGAAAUGCGUAGAGAUCGAGAGGAACACCCGUGGCGAAGGCGGCUCCCUGGCCGAACACUGACGCUGAGACGCGAAAGCGCGGGGAGCGAACGGGAUUAGAUACCCCGGUAGUCCGCGCCGUAAACGAUGGUCACUAGGUGUACGCGGUAUCGACCCCGCGUGUGCCGCAGCUAACGCAAUAAGUGACCCGCCUGGGGAGUACGGCCGCAAGGUUG